CUAAAAAAAACACAGUAAGGACCAGUUCAGAUCAAAGAUUCGCGACGAGACGAGUUGAAAACUUCUUGCAACGAGUCGGUCUGCAGCGUUCUAAAACCUGCCAGUUCACACCAAUAAGACGAGGCGAUACGGUGUAUCAUCUCUAUGACAACGCCUCGUUAUUCUUCUGUUCU
Sander lucioperca (pikeperch) is the source of this 173-nucleotide long non-coding RNA. RefSeq lists it as uncharacterized. NCBI's taxonomy places the organism in Eukaryota, Metazoa, Chordata, Actinopteri, Perciformes, Percidae. The record is from RefSeq and is a predicted model, not a curated record. The transcript has 3 exons.